RNAcentral lists this ribosomal RNA (2754 nucleotides) under Parvibaculum sp. RNAcentral describes it as "23S ribosomal RNA". It matches the Rfam family "Bacterial large subunit ribosomal RNA". Lineage: Bacteria; Pseudomonadati; Pseudomonadota; Alphaproteobacteria; Hyphomicrobiales; Parvibaculaceae. The record is from RNAcentral.
AAUCAAGCGUCUUAAGGGCAUUCGGUGGAUGCCUUGGCGCGCAGAGGCGAUGAAGGACGUGGCACGCUGCGAUAAGCCGCGGGGAGCUGUGAGCAAGCUUUGAUCCGUGGAUUUCCGAAUGGGGAAACCCAACCCGCAAGGGUUAUCGUUACCUGAAUACAUAGGGUAACGAAGCGACCCCAGGGAACUGAAACAUCUCAGUACCUGGAGGAAAGGACAUCAACCGAGACUCCGUUAGUAGUGGCGAGCGAACGCGGACUAGGCCAAUGCCUCAAGUCUUCUAACUGGAACCGUCUGGAAAGUCGGGCCUUAGCGGGUGAUAGCCCCGUACAGGUGUUGAAGGCAUGAGGAUACGAGUAGGGCGGGACACGAGAAAUCCUGUCUGAACAUGGGGGGACCACCCUCCAAGCCUAAGUACUCCUGCGCGACCGAUAGUGCACAAGUACCGUGAGGGAAAGGUGAAAAGCACCCCGACGAGGGGAGUGAAACAGUUCCUGAAACCGGAUGCCUACAAACAGUUGGAGCCCGCAAGGGUGACAGCGUACCUUUUGUAUAAUGGGUCAGCGACUUAAUCUGGCGAGCAAGCCUAAGCCGAUAGGUGUAAGCGUAGCGAAAGCGAGUCUGAACAGGGCGUUCAGUUCGUCGGAUUAGACCCGAAACCGAGUGAUCUAGCCAUGAGCAGGCUGAAGGUGAGGUAACACUUACUGGAGGGCCGAACCCACGUCUGUUGAAAAAGACGGGGAUGACUUGUGGCUAGGGGUGAAAGGCCAAUCAAACUCGGAAAUAGCUGGUUCUCCGCGAAAUCUAUUUAGGUAGAGCGUCGGGCGAAUACUCCAGGGGGUAGAGCACUGGAUGGGCUAGGGGUCCUUACCGGAUUACCAAACCUAACCAAACUCCGAAUACCUGGAAGUACUACCCGGCAGACACACCAUGGGUGCUAACGUCCGUGGUGGAGAGGGAAAAAACCCUGACCGCCGUCUAAGGUCCCUAAAUUGUGGCUAAGUGGGAAAGGAUGUGGGGUCCCCAAAACAACCAGGAGGUUGGCUUAGAAGCAGCCAUCCUUUAAAGAAAGCGUAACAGCUCACUGGUCUAAAUAAGGGGCCCUGCGCCGAAGAUGUACCGGGGCUAAAGCCACAUACCGAAGACGCGGGUGCAUGCUUGCAUGCGCGGUAGCGGAGCGUUCCGUAAGCCUGUGAAGGGUGACCCGUGAGGGCACCUGGAGGUAUCGGAAGUGAGAAUGCUGACAUGAGUAACGACAAACAGUGUGAGAGACACUGUCGCCGAAAGUCCAAGGGUUCCUGCGUAAAGUUAAUCUGCGCAGGGUUAGCCGGCCCCUAAGGCGAGGGCGAAAGCCGUAGUCGAUGGGAACCACGUUAAUAUUCGUGGGCCAGUGGGAAGUGACGAACGCCGAAAGUUGUCAGGGCUUAUUGGAUUGUCCUGGCCGCGUAGGAGUUCCAGGAAAUAGCUCCCACAUGAGACCGUACCCUAAACCGACACAGGUGGACUGGUAGAGCAUACCAAGGCGCUUGAGAGAACGAUGCUGAAGGAACUCGGCAAAUUGCCUCCGUAACUUCGGGAGAAGGAGGCCCCAUGCUUGGGCAACCAGGUGUGGGGGGCACAAACUAGGGGGUAGCGACUGUUUACUAAAAACACAGGGCUCUGCGAAAUCGCAAGAUGACGUAUAGGGUCUGACGCCUGCCCGGUGCCGGAAGGUUAAGAGGAGAGGUGCAAGCUUUGAAUCGAAGCCCCGGUAAACGGCGGCCGUAACUAUAACGGUCCUAAGGUAGCGAAAUUCCUUGUCGGGUAAGUUCCGACCUGCACGAAUGGCGUAACGACUUCCCCGCUGUCUCCAGCAUCGACUCAGUGAAAUUGAAUUCCCCGUGAAGAUGCGGGGUUCCUGCGGUUAGACGGAAAGACCCCGUGCACCUUUACUAUAGCUUUGCAGUGGCAUUAGUGACGGCAUGUGUAGGAUAGGUGGUAGGCUUUGAAGCGGGAGCGCCAGCUUUCGUGGAGCCGCCCUUGAAAUACCACCCUUACUUUUACUGAUGUCUAACCGCGGUCCGUUAUCCGGAUCCGGGACCCUGCAUGGUGGGUAGUUUGACUGGGGCGGUCGCCUCCCAAAGAGUAACGGAGGCGCGCGAUGGUAGGCUCAGGCUGGUCGGAAAUCAGCUGUCGAGUGCAAUGGCAUAAGCCUGCCUGACUGCGAGACGUACAUGUCGAGCAGAGACGAAAGUCGGUCAUAGUGAUCCGGUGGUUCCACGUGGAAGGGCCAUCGCUCAACGGAUAACAGGUACGCCGGGGAUAUCAGGCUGAUCUCCCCCAAGAGUCCAUAUCGACGUGGAGGUUUGGCACCUCGAUGUCGGCUCAUCACAUCCUGGGGCUGGAGCAGGUCCCAAGGGUUCGGCUGUUCGCCGAUUAAAGUGGUACGUGAGCUGGGUUUAGAACGUCGUGAGACAGUUCGGUCCUUAUCCGCUGUGGGCGUUGGAGAUCUGAGAGACACCAUCCUCAGUACGAGAGGACCAGGAUGGAGGAGGCGCUGGUGUAAAAGUUGUCCCGCCCGGGGCAUCGCUUUGUAGCCAUCCUCAAUGGGAUAAGCGCUGAAAGCAUCUAAGUGCGAAGCCCUCCUCAAGAUGAGAUCUCCCAUCCUACAAAAGGAGUAAGAUCCCGGGAAGACUACCCGGUAGUAGGGCCUGGAGGCGUAAGCUCUGCAAGGAGUUAAACUUACCAGGACCCAUAGAUCGAGGGCUUGACCAG